CUCCUCGCUCUGUCGUUUCCAUGGUAACAUCUCUGAAACAUUGCUCCUUUCUGAGGAGGUGAAAUGUAAAGUAGCUGGAAUAUUUGAGUGUUUAAAUAUAUAAAUGAAAACAACAAAAAGAUGGUGGAGUGAGUCAGACAUGACAGAAGACGGUAUGUUCUGCCUCCAUUUGAGGCAUGGUGUGACUGGCAGCUGACAUCCUCACCCUGCUCAUGUGCAGCCCGGCCUCUAUUGCCAUGUUUCUUUCAGUCUUUGCCCUGAGAAGCUUAGUGUUGGAUCUGAGGUGGCAGAUAGAGAAACAAGAUCUUUUCAACUUGUGAGACAUCUUUGUCUGAGAUAGUUCCAACUUAGGGUACAUUCAUUGCAGACUCUGGAAGAAUCCUCGGUGCUGAUCCCAACAUGAGAUCUGCUUUGUAAACUUCAAGUACAGUUCAGCAAAGCACCUUUCACUAGAUCUUAAAGAACCAUCCAAGCAUACUGGCUUAAUGUAUGGUGGCCUGAGUUGAAGUUCAACAUUAAAAUAUUGA
This is a long non-coding RNA of Gallus gallus (chicken), 527 nucleotides long. RefSeq lists it as uncharacterized. The record is from RefSeq and is a predicted model, not a curated record. Lineage: Eukaryota; Metazoa; Chordata; Aves; Galliformes; Phasianidae. The transcript is spliced from 3 exons.